Non-coding RNA from Macaca mulatta (Rhesus monkey), 521 nucleotides. The record is from RefSeq and is a predicted model, not a curated record. NCBI's taxonomy places the organism in Eukaryota, Metazoa, Chordata, Mammalia, Primates, Cercopithecidae.
GGCCGAAGGAGAGAGUGGAAGAGGUCAAACAUGGAAGAUUUAAAAACUGUUUUAAAAAAUAAUUCUAUCUCUGCCUCUGAAAGCCUACUAAACCUUCCCUGGCCCUUCCGGAUUACUGACCUGUGACUUCUACCACAUAUCUCUUCUGCCGUGAGCAGUGCUUUUGUCAGAGUCGUGGAAAAUUCACUUAAGAAAGCAAAACAAGGAAAUGAGAUGAGCGUUUUUCCUUUUGACCCUCUCAACUAUCCGUAAUUGAUAUAACAUCAGUGAGAUUUUACUGGCAAAAUUGAUUCAAAUCAAACCAGAAAAAUUCAGCCUCAAGAACUGAAAAUGAGCUAAAAGAUGGUCACAUUGUACCUAUUGGCUUCAAGUCAAUUUACAGGAUAAAAUGCACCCACUGAUUCCAAGCUUGGAAGGAGAAGGUCUCAUUAUAUACUGUGUCAGGUCAGGUCUCCCAGAACUGUUGGAAAGGUUGGUGUAGGACCUCCUCAUGGGAGAUUUGGGACUUCAAGCUGUGGCAA